GGUAUAUAGCUCAGUUGUUAAGAGCGCUUGCAUUGCAUGCACAAGGCCCUGGGUUCAAUCCCCAGCACCA
This 70-nucleotide transfer RNA is filed under the name Marmota marmota marmota (Alpine marmot). It matches the Rfam family "tRNA". Rfam says of the family: Transfer RNA (tRNA) molecules are approximately 80 nucleotides in length. Their secondary structure includes four short double-helical elements and three loops (D, anti-codon, and T loops). The record is from Rfam by way of RNAcentral. Lineage: Eukaryota; Metazoa; Chordata; Mammalia; Rodentia; Sciuridae. RNAcentral also lists the same sequence under 1 other name.